AUUGAACGCUGGCGGCAUGCUUUACACAUGCAAGUCGAACGGUAACAGGCCUUCGGGUGCUGACGAGUGGCGAACGGGUGAGUAAUGCAUCGGAACGUGCCCAGAGGUGGGGGAUAACGCAGCGAAAGCUGUGCUAAUACCGCAUGUGAUCUGAGGAUGAAAGCGGGGGACCAGGCAGCAAUGUUUGGCCUCGCGCCUUUGGAGCGGCCGAUGUCAGAUUAGGUAGUUGGUGGGGUAAAGGCCUACCAAGCCGACGAUCUGCAGCUGGUCUGAGAGGACGACCAGCCACACUGGGACUGAGACACGGCCCAGACUCCUACGGGAGGCAGCAGUGGGGAAUUUUGGACAAUGGGCGCAAGCCUGAUCCAGCAAUGCCGCGUGCGGGAAGAAGGCCUUCGGGUUGUAAACCGCUUUUGUACGGAACGAAAAGGCUCUGGCUAAUACCUGGGGCUGAUGACGGUACCGUAAGAAUAAGCACCGGCUAACUACGUG
This 492-nucleotide ribosomal RNA is filed under the name uncultured bacterium. RNAcentral's name for it is "partial 16S ribosomal RNA". It matches the Rfam family "Bacterial small subunit ribosomal RNA", at positions 30 to 507 of the family's 1533-position model. The record is from RNAcentral.